Molecule: ribosomal RNA, 143 nt
Filed under: Candidatus Yanofskybacteria bacterium RIFCSPHIGHO2_02_FULL_41_12
Lineage: Bacteria; Candidatus Yanofskyibacteriota
Description: partial 23S ribosomal RNA
Rfam family: Bacterial large subunit ribosomal RNA
Source: RNAcentral
AGAUGCCGACUACCCGCACCAAGACGGAAAGACCCCGGAAGCUUUACUGUAGCUUGAUAUUGGUCUGCGAGUUGUUAUACGUAGCGUAGUGAGUAGGAUUUGAAGCGUCUCUCUCGGGAGAUGUGGAUCCGCCGAUGAAACAC